AGUGAACGCUGGCGGUAGGCCUAACACAUGCAAGUCGAACGGCAGCACAGUAAGAGCUUGCUCUUACGGGUGGCGAGUGGCGGACGGGUGAGGAAUACAUCGGAAUCUACUUUUUCGUGGGGGAUAACGUAGGGAAACUUACGCUAAUACCGCAUACGACCUACGGGUGAAAGCAGGGGAUCUUCGGACCUUGCGCGAUUGAAUGAGCCGAUGUCGGAUUAGCUAGUUGGCGGGGUAAAGGCCCACCAAGGCGACGAUCCGUAGCUGGUCUGAGAGGAUGAUCAGCCACACUGGAACUGAGACACGGUCCAGACUCCUACGGGAGGUAGCAGUGGGGAAUAUUGGACAAUGGGCGCAAGCAUGAUCCAGCCAUACCGCGUGGGUGAAGAAGGCCUUCGGGUUGUAAAGCCCUUUUGUUGGGAAAGAAAAGCAGCAGGUUAAUACCCCGCUGUUCUGACGGUACCCAAAGAAUAAGCACCGGCUAACUUCGUG
This 492-nucleotide ribosomal RNA is filed under the name uncultured bacterium. RNAcentral describes it as "partial 16S ribosomal RNA". It matches the Rfam family "Bacterial small subunit ribosomal RNA", at positions 29 to 507 of the family's 1533-position model. The record is from RNAcentral.